This 301-nucleotide ribosomal RNA is filed under the name uncultured bacterium. RNAcentral describes it as "partial 16S ribosomal RNA". It matches the Rfam family "Bacterial small subunit ribosomal RNA", at positions 509 to 809 of the family's 1533-position model. The record is from RNAcentral.
CAGUCGCCGCGGUAAUACAGAGGGUGCAAGCGUUAAUCGGAAUUACUGGGCGUAAAGCGCGCGUAGGUGGUUUGUUAAGUUGGAUGUGAAAUCCCCGGGCUCAACCUGGGAACUGCAUCCAAAACUGGCAAGCUAGAGUACGGUAGAGGGUGGUGGAAUUUCCUGUGUAGCGGUGAAAUGCGUAGAUAUAGGAAGGAACACCAGUGGCGAAGGCGACCACCUGGACUGAUACUGACACUGAGGUGCGAAAGCGUGGGGAGCAAACAGGAUUAGAUACCCCCGUAGUCCCUGUCUCUUAUAA